RNAcentral lists this ribosomal RNA (321 nucleotides) under Triticum aestivum (bread wheat). RNAcentral describes it as "partial small subunit ribosomal RNA". The record is from RNAcentral. Lineage: Eukaryota; Viridiplantae; Streptophyta; Magnoliopsida; Poales; Poaceae.
AUGAAAAUAUGGAUGGAUCGGGCCAGUUGCGUUCAUGCACUUGGGGCUUUCCGUGCGGCGCCGCCCCACCAGCUGCUGAGCGCCCAACCAACCGAGACGGCAGCUGAAAUCAGUUACACAUCGAUCCCUACACGCCAGCCAGCUGCAGAAAGGGGCAUUUCUCGUAUGAUCCCUCCCAGGUUCCCUGUGAUUUUAUCUCGAUCGACACAGACACAGAAGAAAAAAGAAGGUGAAAUCACCUGGCAAAAAGAAAAAGAAAAGAACCUGAAAUCGCCUGCGCCACAUCAUCUUCGUGAUCACUGUCGCAGGUGCCUUGCCUGA